Molecule: ribosomal RNA, 460 nt
Filed under: uncultured bacterium
Lineage: Bacteria
Description: partial 16S ribosomal RNA
Rfam family: Bacterial small subunit ribosomal RNA
Source: RNAcentral
CCUACGGGCGUCAGCAGUUCUUACUAUUUUUCCCUUUCCUCGCUUCUGCCCCCGCCCCGUCGCGUGAAGGAUGACUGCCCUAUGGGUUGUAAACUUCUUUUAUAAAGGAAUAAAACGAGGCACGUGUGCCUUUUUGCAUGUACUUUAUGAAUAAGGAUCGGCUAACUCCGUGCCAGCAGCCGCGGUAAUACGGAGGAUCCGAGCGUUAUCCGGAUUUAUUGGGUUUAAAGGGAGCGUAGAUGGGUUGUUAAGUCAGUUGUGAAAGUUUGCGGCUCAACCGUAAAAUUGCAAUUGAUACUGGCAGUCUUGAGUACAGUUGAGGUAGGCGGAAUUCGUGGUGUAGCGGUGAAAUGCUUAGAUAUCACGAAGAACCCCGAUUGCGAAGGCAGCUUACUAAACUGUGACUGACAUUGAUGCUCGAAAGUGUGGGUAUCAAACAGGAUUAGAUACCCGUGUAGUC